Molecule: ribosomal RNA, 253 nt
Filed under: uncultured bacterium
Lineage: Bacteria
Description: partial 16S ribosomal RNA
Rfam family: Bacterial small subunit ribosomal RNA
Source: RNAcentral
UACGUAGGGUGCAAGCGUUGUCCGGAAUUAUUGGGCGUAAAGAGCUUGUAGGCGGUCUGUCGCGUCUGCUGUGAAAAUCCGGGGCUCAACCCCGGACUUGCAGUGGGUACGGGCAGACUAGAGUGUGGUAGGGGAGACUGGAAUUCCUGGUGUAGCGGUGAAAUGCGCAGAUAUCAGGAGGAACACCGAUGGCGAAGGCAGGUCUCUGGGCCACUACUGACGCUGAGGAGCGAAAGCAUGGGGAGCGAACAGG